Molecule: ribosomal RNA, 119 nt
Filed under: Pteropus alecto (black flying fox)
Lineage: Eukaryota; Metazoa; Chordata; Mammalia; Chiroptera; Pteropodidae
Source: RNAcentral
AUCUAUGGCCAUGCCACCCUGAACAAGCCCGAUCUCAUCUAAUCUCAGAAGCUAAGCAGUGUCAGGCCUGGUUAGUACUUGGAUGGGAGAUCACCUAGGAAGACCAGGUGCUGUAGGUG